This 253-nucleotide ribosomal RNA is filed under the name uncultured bacterium. Its description in RNAcentral is "partial 16S ribosomal RNA". It matches the Rfam family "Bacterial small subunit ribosomal RNA", at positions 524 to 776 of the family's 1533-position model. The record is from RNAcentral.
UACGGAGGGGACUAGCGUUGUUCGGAAUUACUGGGCGUAAAGCGCACGUAGGCGGAUUUGUAAGUCUGUCGUGAAAUCUCCGAGCCUAACUCGGAAACUGCGUCGGAUACUAUUCAACUCGAGGAAUGGAGGGGAGACUGGAAUUCUCGGUGUAGCAGUGAAAUGCGUAGAUAUCGAGAGGAACACCAGUGGCGAAGGCGAGUCUCUGGACAUUUCCUGACGCUGAGGCACGAAAGCCAGGGGAGCAAACGGG